GAUGAACGCUGGCGGCGUGCCUAAUACAUGCAAGUCGAGCGAACAGACGAUGAGCUUGCUCCUCUGACGUUAGCGGCGGACGGGUGAGUAACACGUGGAUCACCUACCUAUAAGACUGGGAUAACUUCGGGAAACCGGAGCUAAUACCGGAUAAUAUAUUGAACCGCAUGGUUCAAUAGUGAAUGACGGUUUUGCUGUCACUUAUAGAUGGAUCCGCGCCGCAUUAGCUAGUUGGUAAGGUAACGGCUUACCAAGGCAACGAUGCGUAGCCGACCUGAGAGGGUGAUCGGCCACACUGGAACUGAGACACGGUCCAGACUCCUACGGGAGGCAGCAGUAGGGAAUCUUCCGCAAAGGGCGAAAGCCUGACGGAGCAACGCCGCGUGAGUGAUGAAGGUCUUCGGAUCGUAAAACUCUGUUAUUAGGGAAGAACAAAUGUGUAAGUAACUAUGCACGUCUUGACGGUACCUAAUCAGAAAGCCACGGCUAACUACGUG
This 497-nucleotide ribosomal RNA is filed under the name uncultured bacterium. RNAcentral describes it as "partial 16S ribosomal RNA". It matches the Rfam family "Bacterial small subunit ribosomal RNA", at positions 28 to 507 of the family's 1533-position model. The record is from RNAcentral.